AACAUCAUCCAGGACACUUUGUAGGUUCUAUUUAGAUGAUCAGUCAACACAAGGGAAAGACUUGAGUUACUUCCAACAGGGGUCUAUUCGUCAGUCAAAACGUUAAUCUUGAAGGAGCAAAGGUUUGUUCAUGAGCUGUCACGCUCGCUAGGCGAAGCCCACGUGUUAUGCAAAAAAAAAACGAAAAAGAAAAAAAAAGACGGAAAAAAAACGGAAAACGAAAAAAUAAAUUAAAUUAAAUUAAAUAAAUAAAUAAAUAAAAAAUAAAUAAAUAAAUAUAAUAGAAAAAUCAUGGACUUGGACCUCUCUCAUUUGAGCCCACAAAGCCAUGAAAAUCAGGUUAUAA
This 346-nucleotide long non-coding RNA is filed under the name Lathyrus oleraceus (garden pea). Its description in RNAcentral is "Pisum sativum (pea) long non-coding RNA (PSAT_LNC030406)". The record is from RNAcentral. Lineage: Eukaryota; Viridiplantae; Streptophyta; Magnoliopsida; Fabales; Fabaceae.